AUUAUUGGGGCGUAAGCGCGCGCAGGCGGUCCUUUAAGUCUGAUGUGAAAGCCCACGGCUCAUCCGAGGAGGGGCAUUGGAUACUGGGGGACUUGAGUGCCGCAGAGGAAGGCGGAAUUCCACGUGUAGCGGUGAAAUGCGUAGAGAUGUGGAGGAACACCAGUGGCGAAGGCGGCUUUCUGGUCUGUAACUGACGCUGAGGCGCGAAAGCGUGGGGAGCAAACAGGAUUAGAUACCCUGGUAGUCCACGCCGUAAACGAUGAGUGCUAAGUGUUAGAGGGUUUCCGCCCUUUAGUGCUGCAGCUAACGCAUUAAGCACUCCGCCUGGGGAGUACGGCCGCAAGGCUGAAUCUCAUAGGAAUUGACGGGGGCCCGCACAAGCGGUGGAGCAUGUGGUUU
This 399-nucleotide ribosomal RNA is filed under the name Neobacillus drentensis. Its description in RNAcentral is "bacterial SSU rRNA". It matches the Rfam family "Bacterial small subunit ribosomal RNA", at positions 550 to 947 of the family's 1533-position model. The record is from RNAcentral. Lineage: Bacteria; Bacillati; Bacillota; Bacilli; Caryophanales; Bacillaceae.